GACGAACGCUGGCGGCGUGCCUAAUACAUGCAAGUCGAACGGACCUUGCAAUAACGGAGUGGAGUGCUUGCACAAAGCGAAGAUAUUGCGCUGGUUAGUGGCGAACGGGUGAGUAACACGUAGGUAACCUACCUUUAAGACGAGGACAACUAUUGGAAACGAUAGCUAAUACUGGAUGUGGUGUAGUUGAGGCAUCUCGGCUACAUUAAAGGAGCUUCGGCUUCACUUAGAGAUGGACCUGCGGCGUAUUAGCUAGUAGGUGAGAUAGAAGCCCACUAGGCGAUGAUACGUAGCCGACCUGAGAGGGUGAUCGGCCACACGUGGGACUGGGAUACGGCCCAGACUCCGUACGGGAGCAGCAGUAGGGAAUUUUCCACAAUGGACGAAAGUCUGAUGGAGCAACGCCGCGUGUGCG
This 415-nucleotide ribosomal RNA is filed under the name uncultured bacterium. Its description in RNAcentral is "bacterial SSU rRNA". It matches the Rfam family "Bacterial small subunit ribosomal RNA", at positions 28 to 407 of the family's 1533-position model. The record is from RNAcentral.